Molecule: ribosomal RNA, 274 nt
Filed under: uncultured bacterium
Lineage: Bacteria
Description: partial 16S ribosomal RNA
Rfam family: Bacterial small subunit ribosomal RNA
Source: RNAcentral
AUACGGAGGGUGCGAGCGUUAAUCGGAAUUACUGGGCGUAAAGCGCGCGUAGGCGGCUUGGUCAGUCGGAUGUGAAAGCCCCGGGCUUAACCUGGGAACUGCAUUCGAUACUGCCAGGCUAGAGUAUGGUAGAGGGAAGCGGAAUUUCCGGUGUAGCGGUGAAAUGCGUAGAUAUCGGAAGGAACACCAGUGGCGGAGGCGGCUUCCUGGACCAAUACUGACGCUGAGGUGCGAAAGCGUGGGGAGCAAACAGGAUUAGAAACCCUAGUAGUCC